This 479-nucleotide long non-coding RNA is filed under the name Physcomitrium patens. RNAcentral describes it as "long non-coding RNA (PPAT_LNC005154)". Lineage: Eukaryota; Viridiplantae; Streptophyta; Bryopsida; Funariales; Funariaceae. The record is from RNAcentral.
UGAACUUGUGGAAGUUCAAGGUACAAGUAAAUGUGUGUGGGUUAUGUAAAUUGUGAGAGAAAUAAAUAAAUAAAUAAAACUAUCUUAUAAAUUUUCUAACACAUGCAUUGGUGCUCUUCUAUAUUGCACGCAAUGUUACAUUGUGCUCUUCUAAAUACAAUUCAAAUUUGCUGUUUAAAGACUAUUAAAUGAUGAAGUUUUCUUCUGUAAUGAUAGGCUUGCACCCACAUUUAUCAAACCAACCACUUUGGUCCAUUGAUUCAAAGAAUCAAAUCUGAAUGCUUCAAAUUUCAACAUAUUAGUCACGAGAAAGGUGUUGUGAAAAUUCUGAAAAUUUUAUGUAUUGAAAAGAAUAAUUACAAUAAUAAUAUGUCAGUUAAUUAAAUGUUAUUAAAUAGAUAAAAUCAAUACAAUCAUUUUAAUUACAUUUCAAAACAUGCUGAUUUUUAUGUCUAUAUAUAUAUAUAUAUACAUAUAUC